This is a non-coding RNA of Caerostris darwini, 102 nucleotides long. The record is from the annotation of a GenBank genome assembly. NCBI's taxonomy places the organism in Eukaryota, Metazoa, Arthropoda, Arachnida, Araneae, Araneidae.
AACGGCUAUACCAUGCUGAAUAUACCGGUUCUCGUUAGAUCACCGAAGUCAAAUGGGGUGUGACCACCUGGUGGGUGACCACCUGGGAACACCGCGUGCCGU